This 403-nucleotide unclassified non-coding RNA is filed under the name soil metagenome. RNAcentral's name for it is "partial contains 5.8S ribosomal RNA, internal transcribed spacer 2, and large subunit ribosomal RNA". The stretch from base 1 to 120 matches the Rfam family "5.8S ribosomal RNA", at positions 35 to 154 of the family's 154-position model. The record is from RNAcentral.
GAUGAAGAACGUAGCGAAAUGCGAUAAGUAAUGUGAAUUGCAGAAUUCAGUGAAUCAUCGAAUCUUUGAACGCACCUUGCGCCCUUUGGACUUCUGAAGGGCAUGCCUGUUUGAGUAUCAUGAACACCUCAACUCCUUAUGGUCUUCCAUGAUGAGCUUGGACUUUGGGGGUUUUGCUGGCCUACAGUCAGCUCCUCUAAAAUAAAUCAGCUUACCGGUGUUUGGUGGGUAUCAUGGGUGUGAUAACUAUCUACGCUCGUGGUUUUCCACCAGGUAACCUUCAGCAGUGGAGGUUCACUGGAGCUCAUAGAUGUCUCUCCUCAGCGAGGACAGCCCUUUGAAUGUUUGAUCUCAAAUCAGGGAGGACUACCCGCUGAACUUAAGCAUAUCAAUAAGCGGAGGA